This 428-nucleotide long non-coding RNA is filed under the name Phoenix dactylifera (date palm). Its description in RNAcentral is "long non-coding RNA (PDAC_LNC019673)". Lineage: Eukaryota; Viridiplantae; Streptophyta; Magnoliopsida; Arecales; Arecaceae. The record is from RNAcentral.
UGACAUGAAGGCUUAUAUAAUUCCAAAUGAAAGGGGGAGCUUUAACUCCAAAAUUUAUUGUUUCACACCUUUCAAGUUUGGAUAAAUUAAAUAACCAGACACUUGAAUUCAUUUAUAGAAUUUAUUUCCUUGUUUAUUGAGCAAUUCACUUUACAUAUACUCAAUAUUUUGUCAUCAUCAAAAAGGAGGAGAUUGUGGAGUGAUUGAUUAAAACCCUAUUUGAUUUUGAUGAGCUCAAAGCAUUUGAGUAUAUCUUUUGUUUUCUAAUGAAUUCAAUCGAGUGUUUCAGUGAAAAUCUUGUCUAAGUGUUUCUAGAUUUGGUUCAAGAUAUUUUGGAUAAGUUAAGAAGUCAGUUUGAACCAAAGUCUGAGACUCGAGUCGACUCCGGGAUACUACGAGUCGACUCCAAGCGUAUCAGAAGCACUGGC